Molecule: ribosomal RNA, 301 nt
Filed under: uncultured bacterium
Lineage: Bacteria
Description: partial 16S ribosomal RNA
Rfam family: Bacterial small subunit ribosomal RNA
Source: RNAcentral
CAGUCGCCGCGGUAAUACAGAGGGUGCGAGCGUUAAUUGGAUUUACUGGGCGUAAAGCGUGCGUAGGCGGCUUCUUAAGUCGGAUGUGAAAUCCCUGAGCUUAACUUAGGAAUUGCAUUCGAUACUGGGAAGCUAGAGUAUGGGAGAGGAUGGUAGAAUUCCAGGUGUAGCGGUGAAAUGCGUAGAGAUCUGGAGGAAUACCGAUGGCGAAGGCAGCCAUCUGGCCUAAUACUGACGCUGAGGUACGAAAGCAUGGGGAGCAAACAGGAUUAGAUACCCCCGUAGUCCCUGUCUCUUAUAC